GACGAACCGUGCGAACGUUGUUCGGAAUCACUGGGCUUAAAGCGCACGUAGGCGGCUUUUUAAGUCAGGGGUGAAAUCCUGGAGCUCAACUCCAGAACUGCCUUUGAUACUGGCGAUCUUGAGUCCGAUAGAGGUGGGUGGAAUUCCUAGUGUAGAGGUGAAAUUCGUAGAUAUUAGGAAGAACACCGGUGGCGAAGGCGGCCCACUGGAUCGGUACUGACGCUGAGGUGCGAAAGCGUGGGGAGCAAACAGG
RNAcentral lists this ribosomal RNA (253 nucleotides) under uncultured bacterium. Its description in RNAcentral is "partial 16S ribosomal RNA". It matches the Rfam family "Bacterial small subunit ribosomal RNA", at positions 524 to 776 of the family's 1533-position model. The record is from RNAcentral.